Long non-coding RNA from Oryzias latipes (Japanese medaka), 1809 nucleotides. RefSeq lists it as uncharacterized. NCBI's taxonomy places the organism in Eukaryota, Metazoa, Chordata, Actinopteri, Beloniformes, Adrianichthyidae. The record is from RefSeq and is a predicted model, not a curated record.
AUGUGACGACGUAAUGAAUAUUACAGUAGAUAAAAGUGGAGGGUGCGCAAACAGGGACGGUUUGAUGUGAGAAUUAGAGGAGGGUCAUUUUCUUCCUGAAGACUUUAAAGAGGUGGGGGCCCCCGGCUGCUGUGUCAGAAAAAAGAUGUGCUGGCUGCAGGUGGAUCAGCCGUUUCUGCGGCCAGGUGAGUCCAGCUGCGGCGCGCGCGCGCCCUCCCCGUGCUCCGUGGCACAGCUGCUCGCCUCGCGCCUGCGGAGGAUCGGGGACCAGCUCGAGAAGAGCUGGACCCCCCUGGAGGGGGCCGUCGGCCCGGGCUGCAGGAGCGGAGAGCAGGCGGUGUGGAACGGGAGAAGCGGCUUCUUCACCAUCUGCUGGGGGGGCUUUCUGCGCCUCGCGGUGCGAUUCACGGUGCUCGUGCUGUUCGGCGCGAGACCACACCUGUAGGGCGCGAGGCUCCAAAAGCAGCCUCAUCUAACAGCCGCGCGCUCUUUGUGGGAUUAUGCCACGCGCAUCUUUUGCACUGACAGGAGAGCACGCGCUCUCUGAAGCGGCUGCGCUCACGGAGGAGGUGGAAAGGAGCCGUGCAUUGUGGACUCGGAGCUCGCGGAGCUGCAUCUCGGAGCCGCUGGAGAUCGCUGACACUGACAGGAGCUGACGCAGCUUCUCCUGCUGGUCCCCGCAGCCCCCGCGCGGCCGCGGCUCCUCCAUUCUGUCAUCGCUUUUUUACCAAGCGGUGAUGUAAUCCUCCCCUGGUGGAGCGCAGGGAAAAGCUAAUGCCGCGCGCCCUUCAGCUGCUUUCACCUGCAGCUGGACUCAAGUAAAAACACCUGCGACUCAUUUAAAGCAGUUGUGUUAUUUAUUAAUGCACUAAAAUUAUAAGCUUCAAAAUGCAAUCGACUGUUUCCCUAUAAAUAAUUUAUGUCUGUGUAAACAUAAUACUAUUGGUGUUUUUUUGUUCGUUUUUACUGUUUUUUUAACAACAAAAAUCUGAAACAAAUAUGAGGCAAAAGUUUCUAUGCAGUUGGAAGUUGGAGCAUUAAAAGGUGAAAAAUAAAACACUAAAAAAGUUUUUUUAAGUCGAAGACAGGGUUCUUUCAGGUGCACAAGUCUUUUUGUAUUUUUAAGCUUUAAAAAAGGGCUUGAAUUCUUUUCUAAUUUCGAAAACCAUUGUUUGCUUAUUGAAAGACAUUUUUAUUGAACCUAAACUGAAGGUUUUGUAUUGGAAAAAAUACAAACAAGGCAGUUCUUUUGCCGUUGGAAAUAUGCUAUUUUACAUUCUUGACAUUAAAAAAAGUGUUUGUUUUUUCAUUUACAUUUUUUAACUGUCUAAAACUUUGAUUAUCUGUAAAUUAGUAACAGUAGUAAAUACUAGAAAAAAAUAAUUUUGGGCUGUAUAAUUGUGUGGUUUUUACUUCAUUUUCAGUAAAGUGCUGGAAAAGUUUUUAUAAAUGACCCUGGAUGGGAGGAGAGCGUAAAAAAUGUGUUGGAAAAACUUUAAAAACAAAAAAUAACAAUCAACGCAGAAAUGCAAACAUUGUUUCAGGUUAUGAGACAAAUGAUUUUUUUAAAAAAGUUGCACAGUCUUGCCUCAAACAGGGAUAGCAGGUCACCCUUUAUUUGUGCUUUAUUAGCUUUUUGGCAGUGUUAUGUGGCUUUUUAUAGACAUGCUGGAUUUGUGGAUAAUGUGUGUUUUCUAUUAAGAAAAAAAGAUUCAAUUUUAAUGACAUUCAUACAGUCUGUUUUCUUUUUUGUCUAUAAUAUUUCAUAUGGAUUUUUUAGCAGUCGUCCUAAUAAAAUCUUUCACUGCA